GCCGGGUGCAGUGGCGUGCGCCUGUAAUCCAAGUUGCUGGGAGGCUUAGGCUGGCGGAUCGUUUGAGCUCAGGAGUUCUGAGCUGCAGCGGACUAUGCCGAUCGGGUGUCCGCACUAAGUUCGGUAUCGAUAUGGUGCUCCUGGGGGAGCCCGGGACCACCAGGUCGUCUAAGGAGGGGUGCACCGGCCCAGGCCGGAAACGGAGCAGGCCAAAGCCCCCGUGCCGCUCAGUAGUGGGAUCGCGCCUGUGAAUAGACGCUGUAGUGCAGCCUGAGCAAUACAGCGAGACCCAGUCUUUU
This is an unclassified non-coding RNA of 299 nucleotides. It matches the Rfam family "Metazoan signal recognition particle RNA". Rfam says of the family: The signal recognition particle (SRP) is a universally conserved ribonucleoprotein. It is involved in the co-translational targeting of proteins to membranes. The record is from Ensembl.